RNAcentral lists this long non-coding RNA (1606 nucleotides) under Homo sapiens (human). RNAcentral describes it as "HSALNT0058027". Lineage: Eukaryota; Metazoa; Chordata; Mammalia; Primates; Hominidae. The record is from RNAcentral.
CAAGGAGAGACAGCAAAUUCAGGCUUCUUCUACCUAUUCUUCUGUCUGGACCCUCUAGAGAUUGGAUGACGUCUCCACAUUGGUGAAGUAAUGAAACUCAAGUCAGGAAGUUUUCAAGCUGCUGAUACUCCUACAAAGGCUAUGGAUUAUUUUAGUAAAGAAAAAGAAAUCUUCAUAAAACACCAUCAUACCAGAAGUUGAAGAUUCUCUCUUGUAACUCCUAAUGGACUUUCUCAGACUUUGUAGCAAUUCUUGGAAAAUCAAAGCCAUUUGUAUAAUGAGGGGAAUUUUGGACACAAAGACAGACAUACAGAGAGGAUGCUGUGAAGACACUGGAAGCCAAGGAACCCCUGAGGCUACCAGAAGCUUGGAGAGAGUGAUGAAACUCACAGCCCUCUGAAGGAACCAACGCGGUUGACAUCUUGAUUUCAGACUUCUAGCUUCCAGAACUGUGCAAGAAUACAUUUUUGUAGUUUAAGCCACCCUGUUUGUGACACUUCGUUACAGCAACCCUAAGAAGCUUAUACUACAGACAUUGUUCUCAGAAAGACCAAAUACUGAUAACAAGAAAUAAAAAAGCAAGCCUUAAAAUCUUUAGAGCAGCCUUUAUUUCACUGCACUUCCGCAGGACAUUGAUCACAGCAAAUUUUUUUUUUUUAACAGGGUCUGACUCUGUUGCCCGGGCUGGAGUGCAGUGGCAUGAUCUUGGCUCACUGCAACCUCUGCCUCCCAGGUUCAAGCGAUUCUCCUGCCUCAGCCUCCCAAGUAGCUGAGAUUACAGACGUGCACCAUCAUGCCCGGCUAAUUUUUUGAAUUUUUAGUAUAGACGGGGUUUCACCAUGUUGGCCGGGCUGGUUUUGAACUCCUGACCUCAAGUGAUCUGUCCGCCUUGGCCUCAUAAAGUGCUAGGAUUACAGGCGUGAGCCACCACGCCCGGCUGCAAAUGUCUUUUUUCAGGAGUGUAUAAUGUUGAGAGCACUACUUAAAUGUUCAUUCUUAGAAAAACCUCAAAAAGGGAAGUAAAAGAAGAGGGAAUAAAAACUCUUUAAGAAAAUAUUCUCUUAGCAAAAUGAGAAUUCAAUAUGUUAGCCUAAUUAAUAGAUAUUCCAUUAUCAAACACUUUGCAUUUGUUAAUAAAAUACUUCAAAAGAAAAUGGGAAAUACAAUUUCUUUUAAGUAUAUAAGAAAAUGAUUAGAAUGGUAGAGUGGCUUUGUGAAAUGGUCUAAGCUGAUUUGUAGAGCAGGAAGCUUAAGCAAUGGUUCCUCCAGACUUUAAAAAAAAUUACCUAACCACUAUGGUUUUACAUCUUCUCAUCUGCACAUAAAGAGUUCUAUUAGAUUACUUCCCCCAGAAUGACUAUGGGAAUUAUUUUAACAACAUAUGUUUCUAGUAUAAGUGUCUGUUCUUGUGUAAAUUGAAUGUAACACCUAACUGAGGCAUUCUUGAUGUUGAAAUUAUUUCUGUUUACUUACCAGUAAUGUUUGUUCUUAUAGUUAUAUAUAAUUCGUAUUCUUUUAACACAGAUUCCAAGCUUUUUCAUACUUUUUUAAAUUCCAGUUUCCCUGAGAAUGUAUUUUGGGGUCUACCUUGGAUGCCCUCUUUAAU